Molecule: long non-coding RNA, 1451 nt
Organism: Cavia porcellus (domestic guinea pig)
Lineage: Eukaryota; Metazoa; Chordata; Mammalia; Rodentia; Caviidae
Exons: 4
Source: RefSeq, a predicted model, not a curated record
UUAUAUUAUGACUUUUGUCCACAAUAACAUCGUAGAUAUUUUCAAGAACCUUUCAUCAAUCAAAUUGUAAGGGUCAGUAACUGAUCAGACAUAAGAAUGAAAAGUAAGAAUGUGCAAAACACAACAUAUCUUGAAUUAUGGGGAGAAUGGAGGUUUCUAUGAAAAUUAGUGAGAUUGGAGAUAGAAAAACGUAUUAUGAAUAAUGAAUCUGUUUUAGGUUACAGAGUCUGCAAAGAUGCCCCAAAGCCCAAGCAGAAGUGUUCAGGAGGCUGCUUAGAACCACAAGGUGGUGUUUUGGUUUCUUUUCUUAUUACUAGGACAAAAUAUCUGGCAUCCAAAAUCAAAGAGGGAAGGUUUAUUUAGCUCACAGUUUGUAGAGGUUGAAACCUCUGAAGUUCAUGGUUGGCUGGCUCCAAGGCAGGUGGCACGGCAAGGGGCACCGCGAGGAGAAGCCAUUCGCAGCAGGCAGAAGGUAGCAAGUGGCCCUGUGGCUGAAUCCAACCAGAAGCCACAUGGAAGGAGACCUACGGUGCAGAUGUGGAGAAGGAUUCGCUCUGGUGCAUGAUAAAGAAAAGGACAAAUGUUGGCAAGUUACCCAAGAUAUCCAGAUGAGAGAAGAUGCUGGCUCAGGUCAGAGCCAGAGCACCAGAGGGAGACAUCUUUCACCGAAGAACCCUUCAGUUCUCAGGCUAACCGUCAGAUGAAAAUAUGUACAUAUUCCUGGGCAAUCAAACAGCUGAGUCACUUGGCCAAGAAAGUCCAGAAAAUCAAAUUUUAAAGAGGUCUGGGUUCCAGAAAUGUGAAUAAAUGUAUGAAAUUGAGAAAGAAUUGUGAAGACCCUUGUAUUUGUUACACAUAAAUAGUCAUGAGAGAGGAGUUGCCAGUUGUCAUCGACUCUGUCACUAUAUUCCAGCAUCCAAUCAUUGGUCUAUGAAUGGUGGAGCCCUGGAAAUAAGAAUGGAGACAUGGGAUGGCCAAUAAAUAACAUGAUCCUGCCCUCAGCGCAGAUCUAGCCACUCGUGCUGACAAACAUUCAGUAAGUCAACAACAGAGAUCAGUGCAGAUCCUCAACCCUACUCAGGUUUGGCAUUAACCCUUAAGACUAAUCAGACACAGUGGAAAGCUGUCGAUCACUAGUUCACUUUGAUAGGAACUGAUUCGCAUUUCUGAUUUGAGUUUGUCCUUUUUUUGCUGACAGAAUUUCAACUAAUAUCACUAUCUGUGGUUUUAGGGUAGAAUUUCAACUCGAUUGGCUUUGGGAUCCUCCCCCGGGGAAUUGGUGGAGCACACUUCUAGGUGUAUCCAUCGGGUGGGUCAUGGAGGUAUGGCCUUUGGUCCCUUGCUCUUUCAUCUCUGGCUUCUUCCUCUGCUUUGUUUCCCGGCUGCCAUGAACUAAGAAGCUUUGCUCCACCGCUCUUGUACUAUUAUGUCUCUGCUUUACGGCCAGCUGG